GGGGGUGUUAGUAUUCUUUAGGGUGGUAGUAGUCUUCAGGGUGGUAGUAGUCUUCAGGGUGGUAGUAGUCUUGGGGGUGGUAGUAGUCUUUAGGGUGGUAGUAGUCUUUAGGGUGGUAGUAGUCUAGGGUGGUAGUAGUCUUCAGGGUGGUAGUAGUCUUUAGGGUGGUAGUAGUCCUGGGGGUGGUAGUAGUCUUCAGGGUGGUAGUAGUCUUCAGGGUGGUAGUAGUCUUCAGGGUGGUAGUAGUCUUCAGGGUGGUAGUAGUCUUCAGGGUGGUAGUAGUCCUGGGGGUGGUAGUAGUCUUUAGGGUGGUAGUAGUCUUCAGGGUGGUAGUAGUCUUUAGGGUGGUAGUAGUCUAGGGUGGUAGUAGUCUUUAGGGUGGUAGUAGUCUUCAGAGUGGUAGUAGUCUAGGGUGGUAGUAGUCUUUAGGGUGGUAGUAUCUUGGGGGUGGUAGUAGUCUUGGGGGUGGUAGUAGUCUUUAGGGUGGUAGUAGUCUUGGGGUGGUAGUAGUCUUGGGGGUGGUAGUAGUCUUGGGGGUGGUAGUAGUCUUCAGG
Molecule: long non-coding RNA, 554 nt
Filed under: Salmo salar (Atlantic salmon)
Lineage: Eukaryota; Metazoa; Chordata; Actinopteri; Salmoniformes; Salmonidae
Description: lncRNA (ENSSSAG00000089114.1)
Source: RNAcentral